ACAAGCAGGCGAGCGUGUUGUCGAAAUGCUUUCUCGAAGUUGAAACUCUCGGCUGCGGCCGGUGUUUUUACGAAGCCAAAUCCCUCGAUUCCGGUGUUUGCCGAAGUUCGAAACACCCGUGGCGAAAAUGAAAAACAGCUACUGCCACCGGAGCUUCGGCUAUCGCUCUGCGUGUUGUCGAUUCAACACUAACAUUCAGUGGCAGUUGCAAUACACGCCGUGCCGUGUUUCGAUGCAAAAGUGGCAACUGGGCAGCACAGUUCGGUGUUUCGACCAUGGCUGUCUGGCACCUCUGACAUAUGCAACCUAGUUGCCAAAUUGGCGGUUUUUUUCAUCGCUUAUCUCUCUCUCUCUCUGAGUAUCUCUAGUUACAACCAUGCCUCACUGACAGAAGGCCUAAAUAUAAAAUAGAAGUUUUCAAUAUUAUCUCGGGGAAAAUCAUUUCAUCAUGUGUCUGUUAUUAAAAUAUGUCACUACUUUGAUUCGCAACCUCUGCCUCGCAACCAAAUAGCCAAAUAGCAGCAAAUUCCGUGCACUAAGAAGCGUGAAUUCCAAACAAAAGCAGAAGCAGAUGUCGAGCUUGGUAACGGAAGUUUAUUUGGACACAGAAACGGAGUAGUACACGAACAAUCCCUCUUUGCUUACUAUGAAGGAGCCCCGAUGGCAGAUCGCACCGAUUACCGUUGACCAAAAAAACAUCCGUAAGGAUUUUAACCAGUUCAUUCCUUACGAUUCUGCACUGCAAAAUGUCGCAUUUAUGAAGCCAAAUUCAGUCAAUCAAGACGAAGCAGGAGAGCAAACGCUGGCUAGAAUGUAGUUCAUGCUAACCAAGAUUCCACUGUAACUUCAAAUGACGAUCAAAACCAUCGUCAAACGACUCUGCUGCCAAUCAAGCUGUCAUCAUUGAAAAUUUAGCAAAUAUCGUCAUCGCCCUUGGCCAGUUGAAAACAGGUUUCGAUUCCCUAAACAUCAAAGGGGAAUAAAUUGAAUUUCUUCUAGAGUUUCGAGACAACGUUUCGCUUAUUACUGCUGACGAGAGUUUCUAGCCAGUUGAUUCAAAAGAAACGCUGGAUGCUCUAAAAGCUUGCUUGGAUAACGAAGAAGAAUGUCCAGGGAUCAUACACCAGCGGAACAUACCGGAUUAGCGGAGACUCAAAUAAAAAUUUCUUUUAUGGUUUUCACCAAAGUGCGUAAGCUGUUUUUAAGGCUAAUCUUGCAAGCUGACAGCGCGUUUACUGCAGUAAUGUGUGAUGCUUUUUUGAGUGCUCAGGAAUAGCAAGCGACAUUUGCUAUCGAAAACUGUUUCUUAACAUAAAAAUCGCCCGAAAAACCUACAAUAUAAUGCUCGCCAUCAUGAAAUUUAAUCGAUUACUGCCCAGGCGGAAUCCGAGAUUGUAAACACUGGAUGUAAAAACUGAAUUAGAGUUUGACUUAAGAAACCAUAUGUAUUUCUGUACAAACUACAGAUCAA
Long non-coding RNA from Wyeomyia smithii (pitcher-plant mosquito), 1471 nucleotides. RefSeq lists it as uncharacterized. The record is from RefSeq and is a predicted model, not a curated record. The transcript is spliced from 5 exons. Lineage: Eukaryota; Metazoa; Arthropoda; Insecta; Diptera; Culicidae.